AGGACGAACGCUGGCGGCGUGCCUAACACAUGCAAGUCGAACGGGGGUAGCAAUACCCCAGUGGCGAACGGGUGCGUAACACGUGAAGAACUUGUCCAUCGGCGGGGGAUAGCCGGCCCAACGGCCGGGUAAUACCGCGUACGCCGUCUGAAGCGCAUGCUUCGGCCGGGAAAGCAGCAAUGCACCGAUGGAGAGCUUCGCGGCCUAUCAGCUAGUUGGUGGGGUAAUGGCCCACCAAGGCAACGACGGGUAGCUGGUCUGAGAGGAUGACCCAGCCACAUUGGGACUGAGACACGGCCCAGACUCCUACGGGAGGCAGCAGUGGGGAAUAUUGCGCAAUGGGGGAAACCCUGACGCAGCGACGCCGCGUGUGGGAUGACGGCCUUCGGGUUGUAACCACUGUCGCGAGGGACGAAAAAUGACGGUACCUCGAAGGAAGCGACCGGCUAACUCUGUGCCAGCAGCCGC
Molecule: ribosomal RNA, 468 nt
Filed under: uncultured bacterium
Lineage: Bacteria
Description: SSU rRNA
Rfam family: Bacterial small subunit ribosomal RNA
Source: RNAcentral